ACAGUCUGGCUUCCAUUCUUUCUUCCUCAACCUCUUUAUCCUACCAAAAUAUGAAUCGUCAUUCAGCAGAUUCCACAGGUUGUGAAACUUUGGCUUCUUAACCGCAUAUGUUCCUAACUUCCUACUAUUAACAACUAAUCAAACUAACCAUUCAUCUAAAUUCCAAUAUUACUACUAUUUAACCGAUAACGAACCAGAAAAGUCAUUUAUACAUUCAACAUAGCCCCACUCUUUACUGUGCAGCGUCCUUGCAAACCACCUCGUACUACGUUUUACAAUAUCACCACAUCAUUGGCUUCCUC
RNAcentral lists this long non-coding RNA (302 nucleotides) under Physcomitrium patens. RNAcentral's name for it is "long non-coding RNA (PPAT_LNC000206)". The record is from RNAcentral. Lineage: Eukaryota; Viridiplantae; Streptophyta; Bryopsida; Funariales; Funariaceae.